CUGGCGGCGUGCCUAACACAUGCAAGUCGAACGGAGAUAGAGAUUUCGAUUUUUAUCUUAGUGGCGCACGGGUGAGUAACACGUGAAUAACCUGACCCAAAGAGGGGGAUAACACCUGGAAACAAGUGCUAAUACCGCAUAAGACCACAAUGCCGCAUGGCGAAGGGGUCAAAGAAAAUCGCUUUGGGAGGGGUUCGCGUCCCAUUAGGUAGUAGGCGGGGUAAUAGCCCACCUAGCCGACGAUGGGUAGCCGAGCUGAGAGGCUGAUCGGCCACACUGGAACUGAGACACGGUCCAGACUCCUACGGGAGGCAGCAGUGGGGAAUAUUGGGCAAUGGGCGCAAGCCUGACCCAGCAACGCCGCGUGAGGGAAGAAGGUUUUCGGAUUGUAAACCUCUGUCGCAGAAGACGAAGGAAGUGACGGUAUUCUGUGAGGAAGCCCCGGCUAACUACGUG
This 456-nucleotide ribosomal RNA is filed under the name uncultured bacterium. RNAcentral describes it as "bacterial SSU rRNA". It matches the Rfam family "Bacterial small subunit ribosomal RNA", at positions 36 to 507 of the family's 1533-position model. The record is from RNAcentral.